CCACUCUAUCAUCUAUUAUUAUCUCCUCAUCUUAUAUGUAAGUCAAUUUUAAAAAUUAAAUAUUAAAUAGUUUUAAAUUUUUAAAUUCAUUUAUUUAAAUUUGUGUUGUAGGGAAUUAAUUCCUCCCUUAGCUUAAUUAGGAUCCGCGUAGGAGGAAAAAUUCUAGAAUGCAACGGAUAUAUUAGUGACGUGGCGUAACAAACCAAUCAAAUUAAUCCUUUUAAGAAUAUAUGUCCCAUCAUGAUUGUAAAAAAAUAUUUGUAUUAUACUUUUGUUUGAAAAGAAGGAAUGUGAUUGGCUUGUUAUUGAUGACGUGGUGCAAGUGUGACAGUGUAGAAUUUCUCGCGUAGGAGAGCU
This 357-nucleotide long non-coding RNA is filed under the name Ananas comosus (pineapple). RNAcentral's name for it is "long non-coding RNA (ACOM_LNC042565)". The record is from RNAcentral. Lineage: Eukaryota; Viridiplantae; Streptophyta; Magnoliopsida; Poales; Bromeliaceae.